GAUGAACGCUGGCGGCGUGCCUAAUACAUGCAAGUCGAGCGAACAGACGAGGAGCUUGCUCCUCUGACGUUAGCGGCGGACGGGUGAGUAACACGUGGAUAACCUACCUAUAAGACUGGGAUAACUUCGGGAAACCGGAGCUAAUACCGGAUAAUAUAUUGAACCGCAUGGUUCAAUAGUGAAAGACGGUUUUGCUGUCACUUAUAGAUGGAUCCGCGCCGCAUUAGCUAGUUGGUAAGGUAACGGCUUACCAAGGCAACGAUGCGUAGCCGACCUGAGAGGGUGAUCGGCCACACUGGAACUGAGACACGGUCCAGACUCCUACGGGAGGCAGCAGUAGGGAAUCUUCCGCAAUGGGCGAAAGCCUGACGGAGCAACGCCGCGUGAGUGAUGAAGGUCUUCGGAUCGUAAAACUCUGUUAUUAGGGAAGAACAAAUGAGUAAGUAAUUAUGCACGUCUUGACGGUACCUAAUCAGAAAGCCACGGCUAACUACGUG
RNAcentral lists this ribosomal RNA (497 nucleotides) under uncultured bacterium. RNAcentral's name for it is "partial 16S ribosomal RNA". It matches the Rfam family "Bacterial small subunit ribosomal RNA", at positions 28 to 507 of the family's 1533-position model. The record is from RNAcentral.